This 369-nucleotide ribosomal RNA is filed under the name Triticum aestivum (bread wheat). RNAcentral's name for it is "partial small subunit ribosomal RNA". The record is from RNAcentral. Lineage: Eukaryota; Viridiplantae; Streptophyta; Magnoliopsida; Poales; Poaceae.
AUGGCGUCUGUUCCAGUUUCGUCUAAGGUCCUGCUUGACGCUAUGUUAGAAAAGGUUGGCCUUCCAGCGGCCACCUACUCAGCAUCCCCAAAAGACGACACGCAUUUGCAGGUCACUGUUAGCUUUUACCCAAUCAAGAUCAGGCUGGGAAAGUCACCUGACAAAGUUUCCCUGUCUACCUCAGAGCACCAAGAUCUAGAGAUAGCUCAGGAUUACGUGGUUGCUGCAGUGAUUAAGUACAUGGAUGCUUACGAGGGUGUGGUUCCUAAAGAUUACCAUUAUGAUCAACUGAUGAAUGUGGAAAAGGCAAAUGUACUGUUGGGUCAGCAACUUAAGGUGAUGGAAAAGAACGCUGCAUCUCUGAAAUAG